GGACAACCUACCCUAUGGAGGGGGAUAACCCCGGGAAACUGGGGAUAAUACCCCAUAGACUAUGGAUGCUGGAAUGCUCUGUAGCCAAAAGGUCAGCCGCCAUAGGAUGGGUCUGCGGCCGAUUAGGUAGUUGUUGGGGUAACGGCCCAACAAGCCUGUAAUCGGUACGGGUUGUGGGAGCAAGAGCCCGGAGAUGGAUUCUGAGACACGAAUCCAGGCCCUACGGGGCGCAGCAGGCGCGAAAACUUUACAAUGCGGGAAACCGUGAUAAGGGAACUCCGAGUGCCCGUUAAAUCGGGCUGUCCAUCUGUGUAAAUAACAGGUGAAGAAAGGGCCGGGCAAGACCGGUGCCAGCCGCCGCGGUAAUACCGGCGGCUCGAGUGGUGGCCACUAUUACUGGGCUUAAAGCGUUCGUAGCUGGUUUGUUAAGUCUCUGGGGAAAUCUUCCGGCUUAACCGGAAGGCGUCUCAGGGAUACUGGCAGACUAGGGACCGGAAGAGGUGAGGGGUACUCCAGGGGUAGGAGUGAAAUCCUGUAAUCCUUGGGGGACCACCUGUGGCGAAGGCGCCUCACCAGAACGGCUCCGACAGUGAGGGACGAAAGCUGGGGGAGCAAACCGGAUUAGAUACCCGGGUAGUCCCAGCCGUAAACGAUGUGCGUUAGGUGUAUCGGUGACCACGAGUCACCGAGGUGCCGAAGAGAAAUCGUGAAACGUACCGCCUGGGAAGUACGGUCGCAAGGCUGAAACU
This 749-nucleotide ribosomal RNA is filed under the name uncultured archaeon. Its description in RNAcentral is "bacterial SSU rRNA". It matches the Rfam family "Archaeal small subunit ribosomal RNA", at positions 102 to 856 of the family's 1478-position model. The record is from RNAcentral.